This 500-nucleotide ribosomal RNA is filed under the name uncultured Glomeromycotina. RNAcentral's name for it is "partial small subunit ribosomal RNA". It matches the Rfam family "Eukaryotic small subunit ribosomal RNA", at positions 591 to 1092 of the family's 1831-position model. The record is from RNAcentral. Lineage: Eukaryota; Fungi; Glomeromycota.
CCAAUAGCGUAUAUUAAAGUUGUUGCAGUUAAAAAGCUCGUAGUUGAAUUUCGGGGUCAGCAGGUUGGUCGUGCCAAUGGUAUGCACUGGCCUUGCUGAUUCCUCCCUCUUGAUGAGCCGUAAUGCCAUUAAUUUGGUGUUGCGGGGAAUCAGGACUGUUACUUUGAAAAACUUAGAGUGUUUAAAGCAGGCAAGCGCUUGAAUACAUUAGCAUGGAAUAAUGAAAUAGGACGUUUAAUCCUAUUUUGUUGGUUUCUAGGAUUGACGUAAUGAUUAAUAGGGAUAGUUGGGGGCAUUAGUAUUCAAUUGUCAGAGGUGAAAUUCUUGGAUUUAUUGAAGACUAACUACUGCGAAAGCAUUUGCCAAGGAUGUUUUCAUUAAUCAAGAACGAAAGUUAGGGGAUCGAAGACGAUCAGAUACCGUCGUAGUCUUAACCAUAAACUAUGCCGAUUAGGGAUCGGAUGAUGUUAAUUUUUUAAUGACUCAUUCGGCGCCUUACG